This 75-nucleotide transfer RNA is filed under the name Opitutia bacterium. Its description in RNAcentral is "tRNA-Arg". It matches the Rfam family "tRNA". From Rfam's summary of the family: Transfer RNA (tRNA) molecules are approximately 80 nucleotides in length. Their secondary structure includes four short double-helical elements and three loops (D, anti-codon, and T loops). Lineage: Bacteria; Pseudomonadati; Verrucomicrobiota; Opitutia. The record is from RNAcentral.
GUCCCCGUAGUUCAACGGAUAGAACACUGGUUUCCUAAACCGGGGAUGAUGGUUCAAUUCCAUCCGGGGACGCCA